Molecule: ribosomal RNA, 350 nt
Filed under: uncultured bacterium
Lineage: Bacteria
Description: bacterial SSU rRNA
Rfam family: Bacterial small subunit ribosomal RNA
Source: RNAcentral
GGGCCCGCACAAGCGGUGGAGCAUGUGGUUUAAUUCGAUGAUACGCGAGGAACCUUACCAGGGCUUAAAUGGGAAAUGACAGGGGCAGAGACGCCCCCUUCUUCGGACAUUUUUCAAGGUGCUGCAUGGUUGUCGUCAGCUCGUGCCGUGAGGUGUCAGGUUAAGUCCUAUAACGAGCGAACCCCUACCGUUAGUUGCCAGCGAGUCAUGUCGGGGACUCUAACGGGACUGCCGGUGCAAACCGUGAGGAAGGUGGGGACGACGUCAAAUCAUCACGGCCCUUACGUCCUGGCCACACACGUGCUACAAUGGUAGGUACAGAGGGCAGCUACCGGGUGACCGGAUGCGAA